RNAcentral lists this ribosomal RNA (141 nucleotides) under uncultured bacterium. RNAcentral's name for it is "partial 16S rRNA". It matches the Rfam family "Bacterial small subunit ribosomal RNA", at positions 355 to 511 of the family's 1533-position model. The record is from RNAcentral.
UGGGGAAUUUUCCGCAAUGGGCGAAAGCCUGACGGAGCAAUGCCGCGUGGAGGUGGAAGGCCUACGGGUCGUCAACUUCUUUUCUCGGAGAAGAAACAAUGACGGUAUCUGAGGAAUAAGCAUCGGCUAACUCUGUCNCCG